GUAGGUGAACCUGCGGAAGGAUCAUUACCAUUAUAGACCCACGGGGGAGGGCUUUCCGACAUUAAUUCCAGGACAGCCAGUGGAUGUACGGUUCCACUGGCUGGGGCGGAACACGAGGGAGAAUAUGCAAGCCGUUAGCUACUCGGAGCGCUGUUCAACCGCCGCCAUUCGAGCCCGAACCUGAACCCCACCCUUGCUUUUUGCGCACCCAUUGUUUCCUCGGCAGGCUUGCCUGCCAGCAGGACCCCAU
This 250-nucleotide unclassified non-coding RNA is filed under the name plant metagenome. Its description in RNAcentral is "partial contains small subunit ribosomal RNA, internal transcribed spacer 1, and 5.8S ribosomal RNA". The record is from RNAcentral.